GAUUGACGGCUCAGGGCACGAGCGGGGACCGCAGCGGCGGAGUGCAGGAAUCACAGCCAUGGCCCCCACCCUCCAGGAUUUGGUCGAUAUGGCAUCUGUGCACAUGAAAACAAAGAACUUGCCAAUGCAAGAGAAGCUCUUCCUCUUAUAGAGGACUCUAGUAACUGUGACAUUGUCAAAGCUACUCAAUACGGAAUUUUUGAACGAUGUAAAGAGUUGGUAGAAGCAGGAUAUGAUGUCAGGCAACCAGAUAAAGAAAAUGUGUCGCUUCUUCAUUGGGCUGCUAUUAACAACAGACUGGAUCUUGUAAAGUUUUAUAUUUCAAAAGGUGCUGUUGUAGAUCAGUUGGGUGGAGAUUUAAAUUCAACUCCUCUUCACUGGGCCAUCCGACAAGGACAUUUACCUAUGGUCAUAUUAUUACUCCAGCGUGGUGCAGACCCCACUCUUAUUGAUGGAGA
RNAcentral lists this small RNA (458 nucleotides) under Pan troglodytes (chimpanzee). RNAcentral's name for it is "processed transcript". The record is from RNAcentral. Lineage: Eukaryota; Metazoa; Chordata; Mammalia; Primates; Hominidae.